Molecule: ribosomal RNA, 404 nt
Filed under: uncultured bacterium
Lineage: Bacteria
Description: partial 16S ribosomal RNA
Rfam family: Bacterial small subunit ribosomal RNA
Source: RNAcentral
AUUGAACGCUGGCGGCGUGCUUAACACAUGCAAGUCGAGCGGAGCGGCGAACGGGUGAGUAACGCGAGAGUAACUGCCCCCCUCUCUGGGAAAACAGUUGGAAACGGCUGCUAAUACCGGAUAGUGGGGGAUGACUCGCGUCCUAUGAGCUUGUUGGUGGGGUAGUGGCCUACCAAGGCGUCGACGGGUAGCCGGCCUGGGAGGGGGACCGGCCACAAUGCGCUUGGAUACGGCCCAAACGCCUACGGGAGGCAGCAGUGGGGAAUAUUGCACAGUGGGGGAAACCCUGAUGCAGCAACGCGCGUGCGGGAUGACGGCCUUCGGGUUGUAAACCGCUUUCAGCCAUGACGCGGUAGUGGCAGAAGAAGCACCGGCUAACUACGUGCCAGCAGCCGCGGUAAUUC